GGACAUAGGUACACAAACUGUCAUGAUGCUCUAAAGCCAGCACUUGCUACUAGGAAAAACAAGCACAAGGUACAUUUACAUUUCUGCACUGUACAUUUCUGCACAGAAACUGUUUUUGAUACAUAGGGCUGGAACUAUUUUGUUUCAGGAAAAUAGGGCUGCUCCAAGAGCUACGGCAGGAACUUCAGCAGCUCCUACUCAUACUCCAACAGCUGCUCCAACACCUACUGCUAGGAAAAACAAGCACAAGGUACAUUUAUAUUUCUGGACUUUAUAAUUUCCAAAGAAGCUAGCAAAAUCUGUUUUUGAUACAUAGGGCUGGAACUAUUUUCUUUCAGGAAAAUAUGGCUGCUCCAAGAGCUGCAGCAGGAACUUCAGCAGCUGCUCCAACACCACCUCCAGCAGCUGCUCCAAGAGCUACUCCAUCUUCUGCCAGCACAAUUUCCACAUCAAGGGCUUCUGCUGCUCCAAGAUCUGCAGCUCCAAGAGGAAGGGCUGCAUCAACAAGGACUACAC
Molecule: long non-coding RNA, 516 nt
Filed under: Triticum aestivum (bread wheat)
Lineage: Eukaryota; Viridiplantae; Streptophyta; Magnoliopsida; Poales; Poaceae
Description: long non-coding RNA (TAES_LNC020025)
Source: RNAcentral